Molecule: RNA transcript, 7134 nt
Organism: Brienomyrus brachyistius
Lineage: Eukaryota; Metazoa; Chordata; Actinopteri; Osteoglossiformes; Mormyridae
Exons: 2
Source: RefSeq, a predicted model, not a curated record
GGGUUAUAACUGAACAGUUGAAGGUCUAAGGUUGCCACCACCGUCAAACUACAUUUCCCAUAAUGCACCAACAAAAUGGCUGCUGAUCACAAAUGAAAACACCUGAACAGGAAUGGUAGCUCAGUCUUCAAACAAGCCAAGGAACAGCACAGCAAGCUCUAUUCAAGAGUUUACUCCAAAGACACCAAUGGUUGGUAAAUGUUAUUAGGUUAUAUUAGUUAAAAAGAACUAAAAUGCAAAAGCUUUCAUUUUGAUUUGAUUGUCUGUUUGACGUUUGAUUGUCUUUAUUACAUUUGAUGUUUAACUGUUCUGUUGUUUGAAGCGAGCAUUUAAUGAAAUUUAUUAUUUGAUUUAACUUAAUUCACUAGAUUAAUUUUAUUAAUUCAUUUGAAAUACUUAGAAUGGUUCAUUUGUUUACCUUAAUUUAAUUAAUAUAAUCUAAAAAGCUCAUGUAUUGUUUUAACAUCUUACAGAAUGACAUGGUGAAACCUCUGUGUCUGUGCUUUGUAGGUUAUCAACCUGACGGUUCAAACAUUGGUUGAUUAACUUGAAACCAACAAGUCUAAGUUGGUAAAUAAAACUCAACGAAAGGUGAAUCAAGAGUUGUCCCGGAGUGUCCUUUUGGAGUGGAACUAGAGUGGAACUUAACAGUUGAUAACCAACGGAGCAGCCUGGAGUGGAAGAUAAAGGGCUUCAUACCAGAUAAGCUGUGGACGGAAAAAGGAAAUAAAGAUGGCUGAAGAGGUCUUGGGGAAGACUGUCAAACUACUGAAGCAGGAGAGGACCAUUGCAAAGAGCAGCUUCACCAAACUGGCCAACUUCAUUUCAAGGGGAGCAAACACCAUGCUGAGAGCUGAAUUAAAGGAGGAAUUUGGAAAACUUUCAGACCGGUUCAGGUCAGUGCUUGAUUCUAAUGAGGACUACAGGAUCGGACUGGAUGCUGACGUCAAGGCGGCGGAUAAUGAAGCAGAACUUGAUAAGCAGCAAGAAACUGACAUAAAGACAACCAUAAAAGAUGCAGAAAUUAAAAUGGAGGAAGUAAGGGACAUUGUACAAACUAACAUGUGGGGAAGAUAUGGAAAGAACGAACUUAGAACAUCGAUUCUUGAAGCAGAAGAAGCAAUUGAUGAAGCUGACAGAGUUCAAGUCAGAAGUGACAAUCUAGAAGGCUAUGAAGGUCACCUCACCUUAUUGGAAGAAAAGAUAAACGCAGCCAUCUCAGCAAUGUCUGAGUGGGAGAGAUGGAUCCCCGAAUCAUCAAAAGAUGAACUGGCUGGGAGACUUAAAGAACUGAGAGCAACCCACAACAGGCUACAAUUGAGAAAAGCAGAGUUUGCCAUAUCAAGGAGGCUGGCUGAUCAAGGCACAAGUGGGAAACCUGUCCAACCACCACCACCUGUUGUGAAGAUAAAACCAACUACUCUGCCUGUCUUCCAGGGAAGUAAGAGAGAGUUCCACAGGUGGAGAAAGGACUGGGAGAGCCUGCAAAGGCAGGGGGAGCCCACUGGCUCACCUGAAGUUCUGAAGAUUCAGCUUCUGGAGAGUGUGAGCGAGACCAUUGCAAAAGAAUUAAGACUUUCAACCUAUACAACAGCAGCUGACAUGUUCAGGGUCCUGGACAAUAGAUACGGCAACAAGUCCACCAUUACAGUUGAAAUCCUCGAAGAACUAGAGAAUAUGCCUCCAGUGAAGGGGAACCAGCCGAGGAAAGUCAUUGACCUGAUUCAAUCUGUGGAGAAGGCACUGGCAGAUCUGACAGAGCUGGGGAACGUGGGAGCCAUGAAAAAUCCAUUAGUCAUCAAGUCCAUUGAAAGCAAGUUACCCGACUUCAUAAAAAGAGACUGGCUAAUGUUCCUGGUCAACCCUGAAAAUAAUGUCACUGCAGAUACUCACUUUGACAUGCUCUUGAAAUUCCUGAAGAAUCAAGAAGAGAUACUGGAGAGACUUGAACAACUUAAAAUUGUGGACAAGAUAGACAAGCCAGAGAAAAGGCAUGAAAGAAAGACUGCAUCAACCAGAGCUACAAAGAAAGAAGUUGAUGAGGGCUGUGGUGUCUGUGGUGAUCGUGGACACAGCAAAAAGGUCUUCUUCUGCAAGAAAUUUAAAGCUUUGAAACUGUCCGAAAAGAAGUCUGUUCUAAAGAAACUGGGAGCAUGCAGCAAAUGCUUAGGGUACCAUGAUGAUGACGGAUACUGCAGGGAAAAUUUUUUAUGCAGGAAUACAGACUGCAAAACGGGAGGAACUGGUCCAGACCACCAUUAUUUCCUGUGCCCAAAAACUGAAUCCAGAAGAGGAGAAGGGGGUAAAGGUGGAAGAGAUGAAAGAAGUAAAGGGAAGUUCACAGAGGAACAGGAGAAGUUCUUGUCACAACUUUCCCCAGAACUAGCAGAGCAAUGUCGAAAGGCAUUCACUAACAGGUCCUCAGUGACACUCAAAACAGCAGGCCAGUCUGAGCUACUGAAGAAGAAUGGGCUGAUUGAACUUCCAGUGAUCAUGAUGCUGAUGCAGGUGACGGCGAACGCAGGUCAAAAGAUUGGUACCCUCAUUGACCUAGCAUCUGACACCAAUUACAUAACCCACAAAGCUGCUGAAAGAUUGGGCCUGAGGAGUGAAGAGAUAACCCUGGUCAUACAUGGGGUUGGUGGAAUGACUAUGCGAGUCAAUACAAGAAGGUACCUCCUAAAGGUCAGAGUCAAGACUCCAAAAGGGACUGAAAGAGCACAUCAACUAGUCUGCUAUGGCCUGGAUGAAAUUGCUAAGGUAUAUCAAACAAUUCAGCCUGAGAAGUUAAAAAGAUUCUUCCCAGAUGUCCAGCUCGAAGACCUGAAGAGACCAGCCGAAGUCGAGCUUCUCAUAAGCCACCGUGAGGGAAGACUUGCACCUCAAAGAGUCAAAGUCAUCGGAGACCUUGUUUUGUGGGAAAGCCCAUUGGGGAAAACAGUGGGCGGAGCCCAUCCUGACUUAUUUGAAGAAGUGGAGGUGGCAGCAUAUGAGUCAAGAACCCAUUUCGCUCGCUCCAUGCGAACCGCUGCUGUCAGAUAUCAGGAGAUCACAGUUCCAACAACCAAACCAGGCUGGCAACUGCAGGAAGAUGCGCUGUCCAAAUUUACAUCUGCCAGUAACCGUGGGUUCCUUGAGUGGUGGCACUGGGACAGCAUCGGAGCCGCAUGCGAACCAAGGUGUGGAGGAUGUCGAUGUGGAAACUGCUCACCAGGAGGAAGAGACAUGACCUUAGUAGAGGAGAGGGAGCUUGAGAUCAUUAAAGGAGGCCUCACCUACAAGGAAAAGGAUGCUCACACACCUACACCACACUGGGAUGCAAAGUAUCCUUGGACUGAAUGUCCUACAUCUCUCCCUGAAAACAAAAGGGCAGUCCAGGCUUGCUUCUUAAGGAUGGAAAAGCAACUAAGCAAGGAACCAGAAUGGAAAGUCGCUUAUGCAACCCAAAUCCAUGAAAUGGUCGAAAGAGGUGUAGCCAUGAAACUCACCAGUGAAGUCAUGGAGAAGUGGACGGGACCAGUGUGGUAUGUCAGCCACUUGGUGGCGCCUAACCCUCAUUCAGUGACAACACCAGUUCGCAUUGUCUGGAACAGUAGCCAGAAAUACAAAGGGGUAAGCAUGAAUGAUCUUCUUCUAAAGGGACCAGAUGUCCUUAACCCCAUCAGAGCCAUCCUACUAAGAUUUAGAGAAGGCGUGCAUGCAGCUCUAGGAGACGUAAAGAAGAUGUAUAACUCUGUCUGGUUGGAGGAGCGUGAGAUGCAUCUACACAGAUUCCUGUGGAGAGACAGCCCAGAAAAGGAGAUCUGUGAAUACGCAAUCACCAGAGUUAACAUCGGUGACAAACCCGCUGGUUGCAUUGCACAGUUGGCUAUGAGGGAGACUGCGAACCUGCCCAAAUUCACUCACUUGGUGGAUGAACGAAGAGUUAUCGAAGAAGACAGUUAUGUGGAUGACCUCUUAACCUCCCACAAUGACCUGCACAGACUUGACAACAUCACAGCAAAUGUUGAAGAGAUUCUAAAAGCUGGAGGCUUCUUCCUUAAACCAUGGGUCCGGUCAGGGCAAAGUGGGAGGAAAGGAGCUGAAGCUGAUGUCCUAAGCCAGGAGCAAAGGAAAACCUUAAUUCUUCCAAACCAAAUGAGGGAAGGGGACAACAAAGCCUUGGGCAUUGGCUACCAAGUGGAUGAGGACAAGCUCUACAUGCUGACCGCUGUGAACUUUUCUAAAAGGAAGAAGAAAAUGCGAGUUGGCAAAGAUCUUCUCGAAGAGGAGGUGAGAACUGAAACACCUAACCCACUGACUAGAAGAGCUCUCUUAAGCCAAGUUGCUGCACUGUAUGACCCAAUUGGCCUAGUUGCACCGGUCAAGCAGAAAGGAGCGAUUCUUGUUCGUAAAGCAUUUCAAAAAGGAGGGGGUGGCAAACUGACCCAAGAAACCUGGGAUCAACCUCUCUCAGAAGGCCUCAGAGAAGAAGCUAUACAGCUUUUCGAAGAAUAUGUGCAGCUUGGUCGAGUGAAAUUCCACAGGAGCCUCACACCAUCUGACUGGAAAGGUAAACCUUGGGGCAUCACAUUCUCUGAUGGAAGUGACAAAACAUACGGAGCUGUCAUGUACUUAAGAUGGGAAACAACUCAAGGCAUUGAAGUCCGGUUAGUGGAAGCCAAAGCCAAACUCACACCCCUGGAUCAAAAGGGAGAUGCUGUGAAGGCAGAAAUAUGUGGCGCAGUCUUUGCAGCUAGGAUCAGGAAGUACGUGGAGAAGCAUGCACGAUUGAAGAUUGAGAGAUGGUUCCAUCUACUGGACAGUCAAACAAUCCUAGGAGCCAUUCAGCGAGACAAUUAUGGAUACCAAACCUUCUUCGCAAACAGAGUAGGUGAAAUCCAGAAGGCUGGGCCAGUGCAAGACUGGUGGUGGAUUCGUGGAGAUCUAAAUAUAGCUGACAUUAUAACAAGAGGAGGCACUCCUGACGAUUUGAAGGAGUUCCACAUGGCAAAAUGGACCAGAGUUCCUGAUGUGGCCAGUGGAGGAGUGGCCUAUUCAUUCAGCUGGAGAAGUUGCAGCCCAGGCCAGGGAGAGUGUAAACAAGCUUCAAACCAAGGCAUUUUCAGCUGUACUGACCAGAGCUCAAGCCAAAAUGAGUCAACAGAAUGAAGAUCCACUAACCACUCAGGAAAGUCCUUGUCAAGAGGGAAAAUCCACUCUGCCAAGAAUGAGGCCCACUGGCUGGGUUAGACAUCUCGUGAACAUAACACGGUUCAGUAGUCUGACCAAACUGAAGAGAGUAAUUGCCUGGAUCCGUCGAGCUGCCGAGCAGUGGCUGAAGAGGAUUUCAAACCCAAAACGGCCAAAGUGGGACGCAACAACACCCAAGCUGGCUGGAUUGACCAGCAAAGAGCUUGAGGAUGCAUGUGACGACCUCUUACUAGCAGCUCAAGUCGGUGUAACUUUUCCAGAAACAACUCUCAGCAGAUUAGCAGUAUACAAAGAUGUGAACACUGGGCUCCUACUUUGUGGUGGUAGAAUCCAGAUGUUCAAUGAGGAGAAGACUGCCGUGCCAGUUCUGCCAUUUGAAGCAUGGGUGUCUACUCUGCUGGCACGAGAAUCCCAUGAAGUUAACCAUGAGGGUGUAGCAGCAACCCUUCUCCGGAUGAGGAAGACAGCCUGGGUAAUAAAAGGCCGGAGAAUUGCCAAGAAGAUGGUUGACAGUUGUGUGAGCUGCAGGAAGAACAGGGCGAAGCAGUGUCAACAAAUAAUGGCGCAUUUGCCUCCAGAGCGAACAGGCCCAGCUGCUCCUUUCGAAUUCACCACCUUGGAUCUGUUCGGUCCAUAUGAAGUGAAAGAUGAAGUUAAGAAAACAACCAGACUCAAGGUAUGGGGAAUUGUCUUCUGUUGCAUGGCCUCCCGUGCCAUACACACUGACGUGGUAAGUGACCAGUCAUCUGAAGGUUUCCUGCUGGCCUACCAAAGAUUCACGUCACUGAGAGGGCACCCCAGGAAACUUUGGUCAGACCCCGGUACUAACUUUGUUGGAGCCAAACCUGCUCUGGAGAAGCUAUACAAAUUCUUUGACCAACUGGACAGGUCUCAAGUUGAAGACCUAUCUGCCAAGCAUGGAACGGAAUGGUCUUGGAAGAUCCACCCCUCAGAUUCUCCGCAUAGAAAUGGUGCAGCAGAGGCGGCUGUCAGAAUAGUGAAGCGGGCUCUAAGCAACCUUGGUGGAGAUGGUGUUUUCACCUGGGGUGAAUUCCAAACCUUUCUCUUCAUGGCAGCCAACCUUGCUAACGAAAGACCUAUUGACGCCAGGACUCAAAGUAGGGAAGACUGUGUAGAGUACAUUACCCCAAAUUCUCUGCUUUUAGGGCGUGCAAACCCAAAGGGAGACCCUGGAGACUUCCAGUUCGAUGGCUAUCCAUAUAAAAGGCUUAAAAGUAUCCAAACAGAAGUCAGCAAGUUCUGGAAGAAGUGGAGCCAAUUGGCUGGACCAAACCUGUUUGUACGGAACAAAUGGCACACUAAAGAGCGAAAUGUUGCUGUUGGAGAUGUGGUCUGGUUGGCUGACCAAAAUGCUCUGAGAGGACAGUACAGACUGGCCAGAGUUGUCAGCGUCAACACUGACAACAAAGGCAUUGUAAGAGAUGUGCUUGUGAGGACCUUUCCCAGCUAUCCUGUUCCCAUCAGAAAGGCAGCUGGAAAGGAGCCGGCCGCAGGAUCCAACAGGGUUAAACAUAAAAUCCCGGCCACAACCCUUCAUAGAGAUGUAAGGCGCCUUGUCAUUCUGAUUCCCAUUGAAGAACAAGAGUGACGGACUGGUGUGACCUCAUUGGGUUUGAGAAACCAUGAGCUCAAGUGGGAGGUGUUGGGUUAUAACUGAACAGUUGAAGGUCUAAGGUUGCCACCACCGUCAAACUACAUUUCCCAUAAUGCACCAACAAAAUGGCUGCUGAUCACAAAUGAAAACACCUGAACAGGAAUGGUAGCUCAGUCUUCAAACAAGCCAAGGAACAGCACAGCAAGCUCUACUCAAGAGUUUACUCCAAAGACACCAAUGGUUAUCAACCUGACGGUUCAAACAUUGGUUGAUUAACUUGAAACCAACAAGUCUAAGUUGGUAAAUAAAACUCAACGAAAGGUGAA